ACUCUCCCAGCAUGCUGAGCGGCGCCAGCUGACUGAGCUGAAUUGACACUUGACUGCAAGGAUUCUACUAAUGUUCCCUGGUUGACUGCCACCGCGCUGUCAGUGCUAGGACUAACAAGAGACAGAGACGAAUAGAGAAAGUGAGGCACAUGAAAACAUUUUUGGUCAAGUGCUGGCCAAUAAGAAAUAAUUAUCUAGAUGAAGAGAAGCGAUUCAAAAUGCAACAGGUCCAAGGAAGUCAUGGAGGUAAAGCUUCGGGCCACGCAGCACUUCAAGGCUUCCCCGGCACUGACCACCACUGGAAGUGUUACAUAGCAGUGAUGAGGGUCUGCACCACACCGAUGAAGUGUGUGCCAGGCAGCCUACCAGACUUCAGUGAGUGCUGAGCCAGCUCCUCCAUUUAUGUGCAGUGGGUACUGAGUUCCUUCACUUCAUCAUGAUGGGUGUAGAACUCUGGCAAGACUAAAGGAUGUUAUAGUAUACAUAAAACAGUGAGAACCUGUAUCGAGGGCAUGAUGCUGGCCAUGAGUGGGACCAAGAGCAGGAGAUGCACGCCACACUCGCUGCAUGGAGUGUGAGGAGGAGGAAGCAUGGUGGUGUAUUCUUAGGGGUAUUUCAGUGUUCAUGGAGGAUGGAUCAGAUUUCAUCAUUGCAAGAAAAUGAAGACCUUAUUCCUCCAAGACUAAUAUACCUCCAAGAAGAUAUGUUCAGUGUGCCUGUGGUUGUAGCAGCAAUAGUGUUGGUCAGUCAUCAUGUGAGAAGGGACAGUGUGCUAGAGGGAGUGAGGACAGGGGCUGUGUGUGCACUUUAUGGCAUUGGCGGGUGUGGUGGUGCGGGAUGGCAUUCAGUGGCAGCCAGGAAGAGAAUGACUUUGUUUGGAAUUGUUAAUCAUUUUGUUUGGAAUUGUUAAUCAUUUAAGGUGUAGAAGUGAACUUUUUUCCUUUUAUUUUUUUAUUUUUUUAUGAUUUAAUUUUUUUAUUUGGUUUGGUGGUGGUGGCUCACAUAAGCUUCAUAACUAAAUUGCUAUUUAAUUUCACUUCUGCACCUUUUAGAUGGUUAAAUGUAAUAUUCUGAACACGAUUAUUCUUUUCCUGGCUGCUGUUAAGUGUCACUGGAGCACCGCUUCACCUGCUGAUCCCAUGGAGAGGGCACCAUGGAAAUCCACUUGCUUAUUCCAUCCUACAACGUAGUUGGAAAUGAAAAGAAAUAGACAUCUUUGUUUAGUGAUUUAUUGAUAGUACAAUAAAACCUCCAUAAACUCAACUAUAUGUGGGGUGAGGUGGCUGACGGUUUAUUCAAUGUUCAGUUUUCUGCUGGUUUCUAUGUUAUGUGUAAACAUGUACGUUUAUUGUUAUUUACUAGUACGUUUAUUGUUAUUUACUAUUAGCACAUUAUUACAACAUAAGCCAAAAGAUUGAUAUUUACAACAUUUCUUUAUUAAAUGUGCACAACACACUAGCUGGUCACUCAAGAGUUCAUUUAACAUUACACAACUACACACUUAACUGUACACAACAUACUGGUCACAUGAGAGAGCUAACAUAACAAACAACAUUAUGCACUAUACUACUAGUGUACUUCUGCUUGUCACUCGGAGUCUAAAUCAAAGAUGUUGGCUGGUUGCUCUGGUGUGAUUGGGGAUGGAGUGGAGGUGGCAGACUGGUUGAGGAGGUUGAUAACGGUGUUCGAGUUAUCCAAUAUUCGGCUUCAAUUUCAGUUUAGGGAGGUUUUACUGUACUAGCACUUGCCAAUCUCCUGUGCAAUAUCUCACUUAAGGAGGAUUACAGUAUCCUUCUCCAUUCACCGCCAUCCACUUUCUUUCUGCAAGAAGACUCUCCUCCCAUACCUGUGCCUCUUCUUGCUGUGGUGCAGGUAAAAUGAACACUUCUCAAUGUGGGAGUCUUACAAACUACACUAGCAAAUCUUGCUGAGUGAAGAUGAUGUCUCUAACUCUCCUACACUAGUGUGUAUAUAAUUAAUUAGCAGUACUUUCUUCCUUGCAAGAGUAACAACAUCAAAACGUCUAGUUUAGCAGAGUCAGACUGUGUGGUGCUAUGAAAGCACUAUAUCUGAGGAGAACCAAGAAAGUACUGCAUUUUAUUGUUUUGUGCCAAACACAUUCAGAACACUGAAGUUGACACUACUGGUCAACUAUUAGUUUAUAUAGUUUGGGACUCCCAAAUUGAUGGGUGUUUUUUACCUGUUAUAUGGCAGCCAGAUAAGGUGUGGGAGGAGAUGGAUGUCUUCCACAAAGUUCCAGUUGGCUGUCACAAAGUCCAGUUAGGUGAAGUUUCUGAAAAUAUAAUUUUUCUUAGUAUUCUUAUAUAGUAUUCCUAUAUAUUUCACUAUCCCCUUUUCUUUAGUAUUCUUAUUUAUUUCUCUCCCCUCUCUCUCUUUCAUAAUUUGUUCGUCGUCUCAAGCACUGGGUGUUUUUAUUAAUAACCACACAAGCUUACAGUCAAAAGAGCUGGUUCGAUUGACUGAGACAGCUGUUGGAGACUAGAAUCAGCUGGCAGGCAGCCAGUUCCAAAUCUAAAUGGACAAAAAAAAGCAAUUAGUAGAUGAAAAAAAUUGCUUUAUGACUUACAACUUGAGUACUAAAAGUUACUCAGACUUUAGUGAUAUUGAUAUAUCAUAAUGAAAAUUUAUCUAUAUGAGAGAGUGUCAGUAAAUGUGAAGGUACUUUCAUGAGAGGGAUAUCCAAAUAGAGACAGUUGGAGACAACCUAUAGUCUGUUCAGAGGAUGAAGUCCAUUCAAGGUGUGGCAGAUUUUGUGACAGUGUAGAGGGAAUGGAGAAAGCAGUUAGCUUUAUUUGACACCUGUAGUGAAUGGAAGUUAAAACUUGAUUGUGAUAAAUAAAAAUAUAGUUGUGUUCAGCAGGGGAAGAAUUCACCAAAAUAAUUAUGAUUUUGAAUCUGGUUGUAGAGGAUUACAAUUAAAACCUCCCUAAACUAAACCCGAAUAAGCCAAAUAUCAGAAAACCAGAGUGUCCUCGUGGCAACUUGUGUGGCAAGCUAAAGUACACUAAUAGUACACUGCAUAAUGGUUAGCUCUUAUGUUACCAGUGUGUUGUGUACAGUUAAGUGAGCUCUUAAGUGAACACUAAGUGUGUAGUUUUGUAAUGUUAAGUGAACUCUUUAAGUGACCAGUUAGUGAGCUGUGUACAGUGUGUAAUAACAAAACAUGCUGUAAAUAUCUAUCUUGGGGCUUAUAAUGUGCUAACAAAUAUGCUGCAAAUACCAUUAACAAUAAAUGUACAUGUUUAUGUACACAGAAGCUGGCCAAAAAUGUAUAUUGUCGGAUAAACCAAACUUUUGGAUAAGUCAUCAGCCACCUCACCUCAUAUAGUUUGGUUUAUGAAGGUUUUACUGUAUUUAAUUACAAUGGCAGGUUUUGCAAAAGACAGCUGAAUGUCAAAAGAACAAGCAGCAAGGGCUCUUUAUUCUAUGGUAGGAAAAUGUAGAAAGUUUGACCUACUAGUUGAUAUGCAAAAUGAAUUGUUUAAUGCCAUGGUGCUGCCAGUAAUGACUUAUGCUUGUGAAAUAUGGGAACAUUAUAUAUUGUAAGAGAGACAGAGCUGUUACAUAUAAAGUUUUUGAGAAAUUGUGUAUUCAUAGAAAUACUUGCAAUGACAUGGUUUAUGGGGAACUUGGUGUAUUUCCACUUAACAUUUAUAUUAAGUGUAAAAUGAUAGGAUAUUGUGUUAGAAUGAUUUCUGGCAUAGAUGCUAAAUUGUGUUUUGUAAUGUAUCCGUGUUUGUUGUAUCUAGACAGGUUAGGGAGCUAUACUUUGCAUUGGUUAGCAUCUAUCAAAAACAUCCUUAAUGAGUGUGGAAUGUCAUGGUUAUGGUUGUUGCAAGAUGUUCCUAAUGUAACAUGGGUUAAGAAAGCUGUGAGUUGAUAAUAAGGGAUCAGUGGGUAGCAACCUGGCAGAGCAACUUAGUGACAAAAAUCUUAUGUAUAGACUAUAAGAUAUUUAAAUCAAAUUUGGCAUGAAGGCUAUUGUAAAGUUUAACAAGACCAGUUGCAUUUGGUUAACAAAAUUUAGAGCUCUUAAUAAUAAGUUGCCUGUUAAUGUUGGUAGGUGCCAUGGUGAGAGCAGAGAAGAGCCUAUUUGUAAUAAGUAUGAUGUUGGAGCUGUAGGGGAUGAGUAUCAUGUUCUUUUUGCUUGCACUAAUGGGAAUAUUGUGAAGUUAUAGGGUUUUGUAUAUACCAGUUUACUUUACAAGAAGGCCAACAUACUUUAAAUAUGUUUUGUCAGUGCAAAGUACAAAUAUCAGGUUCUUCAAGAUGUUUCAUUGUUUUGAGGUCCGUUUUAUGUAUGUUCAGAUGAGUUAUUUGUUCACCAAACUGCUUGUUACAAGUUUUUUGCCGUUUGAUCCUUGUAUACAGCUACUACCUAGAUUACUAUAACAAUUUAACUAUCAUCUGUGGUGUGUUUCUUAUUUUUGUUGUUUUGAUGUUAGUUUACUUGGACAGCUAAACUAUCAUCAGUAGUGUGUUAUUUGGAUAAUCACUGUUAUUUAAAUACUUAUUAUACAAGUCUGAGCUAUACAAUAAAUUCAGUUCAGAUCACAC
Molecule: long non-coding RNA, 4578 nt
Organism: Scylla paramamosain (green mud crab)
Lineage: Eukaryota; Metazoa; Arthropoda; Malacostraca; Decapoda; Portunidae
Exons: 4
Source: RefSeq, a predicted model, not a curated record